This 204-nucleotide unclassified non-coding RNA is filed under the name Hevea brasiliensis (rubber tree). Lineage: Eukaryota; Viridiplantae; Streptophyta; Magnoliopsida; Malpighiales; Euphorbiaceae. The record is from RNAcentral.
GGCCUCUCUGGGGGGAGCAUCCCCUUGCCGAGCACCUUGGUGUAGCCGAACUGCGUGACGUCGAUGACGGGGGCCUUGCCGGCGCCGGCGCCGGCCUCGGCGGGCACCAUGGACCAGAGGCGCUCGACGUUGACGGCGGGGCAGUGGAACCUGUUGCUGAGCCUGUGGAAGUAGCGCAUCCCGACCUUGCCGAAGUAGCCCGGG